AAUCUGCACAGCCACCCACGUAUCACUUCACAAUUCAUCAUGGAGUAUUUAACUUCACUGAUGCCUUCGUCUUCUCAUUUUACUUGUCUGAAAUUUUUCAAACACUCAACAACCUCAAAACUCAUAUCUACUUUUCUCUCUGCAAAAGCUUCAUACUUCUCUUCUUGGCAAAGCUUCAUACCGUGCGGCGCCGCGACUAGAACGUAACUGUUGAGUUGAAUUAUUCAAAUUAUCUAUUAAGUGCAAAUUUUCAGGUAUGGAAUUUUAUUUUAAUACAUGUUGUGGUUAAUGUUUUGUCCAUUUUAAUAUUAUGUCUUUAUCAUAUGUGAAUUAAAUUAUAUAUAUGCUAGGGGUGCG
Salvia miltiorrhiza (redroot sage) is the source of this 357-nucleotide long non-coding RNA. RefSeq lists it as uncharacterized. The transcript has 3 exons. NCBI's taxonomy places the organism in Eukaryota, Viridiplantae, Streptophyta, Magnoliopsida, Lamiales, Lamiaceae. The record is from RefSeq and is a predicted model, not a curated record.